This is an RNA transcript of Andrographis paniculata, 4130 nucleotides long. RefSeq lists it as uncharacterized. The record is from RefSeq and is a predicted model, not a curated record. The transcript is spliced from 14 exons. Lineage: Eukaryota; Viridiplantae; Streptophyta; Magnoliopsida; Lamiales; Acanthaceae.
UAUAUCUACCGUCGCAUUUUUUCAUCGCUAGAUUGGUUCUCUCUCGGAGCCCUAACCCUAAUCUAAACCCGAUUGUUCGGGAUUGUGCAAUCAAACCUCGACCUUGCAUAUCUUGCAACAACUAUGGCAAGUGAUUCCAGUGAACGCACGCGUCGCAAGCACCACCGUUCGUCCUCAACCGACGAUGCGGAGGAGCGUUCCAAACGCCACAAGCACCGCCACCGCCACCGGCAUCGCCACCACCGGCACCGGAGCAGUAAAGAUAAAGAGGAAAUAGCAGGUGUUGCAACGGAGGAACUGGAAAGUGAAAAAAUUGAUGAAAUUGAGCUCGACGAAAGGAUAUUGGAAAAUAAUGGCGACGUGGACGGUGGUGCCUUGGGAGAAGCUUUGGUGGCUGGUGGAUCGGGUUCGCCGGGGAUGGAUUAUGAAAUGGAGGAAGGGGAGAUUGUGGAGGAGGGUGGCGUGGUUGAUUUUGCUAAUGAAGCUUCUGGGAAGUCUAAGAAGAAUCUGCCUUCGGAUGUUGAGUCCGGGGAAAUUGCGACGCAUACAUACGAGAAUUCUAGCAUGGAAAUUCACGGAGUGGAGGUAGAAAGACAUGAAAAAAGAUCGAGUAGAUUGGUAAAGGACCAGGUGGAUGGAAAAGAAAGUGGUGAGACAGAUAAGGAUGCAUUAGCCUAUCCCGAGGAUCUGGUAAAUGGGGAUUGCCCACAGGAUUUUCAUAAAGCUGACAGUAAGUUUCUUGAUGGGGAUAAUGAGAGGAAAAGUAUGUACGUCGAUGAAUUUGAGCAAAGAAAUCGGAAGAAGUCCUCAUCUUCUGAGAAAAAAAUGAAGGCUGUUUCAUCGUCCCACUCUCAUGAAAAACACAUAAAACACAGUUCCCAUAGUAAUUUAUCAAAAUCACCAGACAGGUCCAGGAGAAGGUCCCGAUCCCGAAGCAUCGCACGAGGGGCUUCUGUGGAGGGCUACAAGGACAGCAAACAUCACAGUGAAUCUGAUGAUGAAAGGGUGAAGGAGCGCUCGAAGCACUAUAGGCAAAGCAACAAAGAUAAUGUGAUUGAGAAAGAAAGGCCGCGUAGCUCUAGUAGAUACGCAGAGAGAAGAGAAAGGCAUUACAACAUUGAGACAAGGGAUUCAUACAGGGAGGGAAGUAGGGAGAGGCAAAGGGAUCGGGAUAGAAUUGAGGAGGAAAGAGAGAGGAAUAGACUUCAUGAUCGAGAUAGAGGGGAAAGGGAACAGGAGCUGAAAGGUAGGGCUAGACACAAGGAUGGGGAACUGGGGAGAGAAAGUUGGAGAGAGAAAGAAAGGGAGAAGAAAAGAGAGAGGGAUGUAGAGAAAGAUAGAAUAAGAGAGGAGAGACACAAGGACAGGGAGAGAGAUAAAGAAGGGGUUAGUUAUGGUGGAAGGCCUGGAAGCAAAGAUAAGGAUAGGUACCAUGGAAGUGACCGAAUGGGCAGACACAUGAGAUAUGGUAAGGAUGGUGAUGGUCGCAGAGAUAGUGAUGAUGAUUUUGGGCGCAGAAGGUAUUAUGAAAACGAUCACGAAGACAAACCAACACGAAGUGAAUUUGAAAAGUUGACCUCGAAUAACAAUCUCGAAAGAGAAGAUGACGGACAAGAGGACUAUCAAGAAAAAAUUGUUAUGCAACUUGCAGAACAGGAAGAAGAUGAGCUUGAGAAAAUUAAGGAGGAAAGCAGGAGACGCACACAAGCUAUUCUUGAAAAGUACAAGAAUCAACAAAAAAAUGAUUCACAAAAUAGGGUUGAAGAUCAAUUUAGAGAGUCUUCUGCACAAAUGGCAUCUGCUCAAGUUGUUGUAGAAAAACCUAUCAAUCGAUUGGAAGGCACAGAGAUUUAUGUUCCUGAGACAUCCUUUUCUGUGGGGAAAUCCCCAUUGCACAAUGGUCUUUCUGCUAUGCCCUCUGGAACUGGCGGACUAGGAGAGGGUUCCCCCAAGAGUGAGAGGCCACAAGAUAUGUUUUGUGAUGAUAUUUUUGGAGAAUCACCUGCUGGUGGCCAUAAAGUGGGAAAAGGUGAUGGUGUAGCUGUUGAGAAGAGUGGACUUAAUGACAACUGGGAUGAUGCAGAAGGUUACUAUGGUUACCGUUUUGGAGAAAUACUAGAUGGUCGGUAUGAAAUAAUUGCUGCCCACGGAAAAGGUGUAUUUUCUACUGUAGUUCGCGCAAGGGAUCUCAAGGCGAAACUGGGUGAUCCUGAGGAAGUGGCAAUUAAAAUCAUCCGCAAUAAUGAGACAAUGUACAAGGCCGGAAUGGAAGAAUUGGUCAUAUUAAAAAAGUUAGUUGGUACGGACCCUGAGAACAAGCGACACUGUGUUCGUUUUCUUUCUACCUUCAAAUAUCGGAAUCAUCUCUGUUUAGUUUUUGAAUCUCUUCAUAUGAAUUUACGAGAAGUUCUCAAGAAGUUUGGUCGUAAUAUUGGUUUGAAGCUUACUGCUGUGAGGGCAUAUGCCAAGCAACUCUUCAUAGCAUUGAAACAUCUGAAAAACUGCGGUGUUCUCCAUUGUGAUAUCAAACCAGAUAACAUGCUGGUGAAUGAAGCCAAAAAUGUUUUGAAGCUUUGUGACUUUGGCAAUGCCAUGUUUGCUGGUAAAAAUGAAAUCACCCCUUAUCUUGUCAGUCGUUUCUAUCGCUCCCCGGAGAUCAUUCUUGGCCUUCCAUAUGACCACCCCCUGGACAUUUGGUCAGUUGGGUGUUGUUUGUUCGAGCUUUACACAGGGAAGGUUCUGUUUCCGGGGGCUACCAACAAUGAUAUGCUUCGACUUCAAAUGGAACUGAAAGGUCCUUUCCCAAAGAAGAUGCUCCGGAAGGGAGCAUUUACAGAUCAGCACUUCGACCAGGAUCUAAAUUUUCUUGCAACAGAGGAGGACCCUGUGUCAAAGAAGACGAUAAGGAGACUGAUUAUAAAUAUCAAACCUAAGGAUUUCAGUUCUUUAAUUUCGGGCUCCCCUGGUGAGGAUCUGAAAAUGGUAGCUAAUUUUAAAGAUCUUAUGGAAAAAAUAUUUAUCUUGGAUCCAGACAAGAGGCUCACUGUUUCUCAGGCCUUGAGCCAUCCUUUCAUCACGGGCAAGUGAACCAUGAAGCUGAUUUCUGACUACAGAACUGCUGUUGCAUUAGAUACUUAUGCAUUUUGGUGUUGUCACAGUACUGCAUUAGCUAUCUGUCUUUGAAUUCUGAUUCUGAGCAAGGAUUCUGGAGACACUGAUCAGGAAGGCAAUUUACUUGGAGUUCAUUCCAUGGAUUGUUUUCUGUUUCUAUUGAAAUAUCUACCCGUGCUUUGAGGGAACCAUUCAAGAAACCAUGUAGAAGGUAAUUGGUUUGUUUAUUGGGAGUACACUUUUGCAGCGUUAAUUAUGUGUGCUAGAAUAUGUAUAGAAUAAUUUGUUAUUGUGUUAGUUUUUUCUUAAGGAAUAUUUGGUUUUUGAUGUUUCAUACUUAUUCUGCAGUUAAAUCUAAUUGGCUCAAUAGUCUCUUACCCUUUAAUAGUAUUAUGACUCUUGGGGUGUGUUUAUUUUGUAGAAUGAGAUUAUAAUCGAUAAUAUUAUUUUACUAGAUUAUAUAAUUAUAAGAUUAAUUAAUAUUAUGUUUAGUUUGAUUGAUUAAAUAUGUGAUUAGGUUGGAUAAUAUAACAUUAUCUAUUCUAAUUAUCCCCAGAAGUGUGAAUGUGCUAAAAAAACUCGGUAUGCGCUUCUUGCUGUCUGCAUUGAUUUCGGACAUUAUAUGUCAAUUUUGAAAAUCAUUGCUUAUGUUUACUUAUGUACGUAAUGAUGUAUGUCUGACCCAUGGUUUGGUUGUUCUGGAGGAUUUCCUAUCUGGUGAUGUUUGGAUGGUGCUGUGAAGUCCUGAAAUAUUCUGUUCUUAUCAAAGCAGCUCAAAUAUCUUGACAAUGCAUUCAGUCAUAAUCAAGAUAAUGAAAUUAUCCUGGAUGCAAAUGGUACAAAAAUUAGAGGUUUGUGGUGCAUAGAUGUUUAGAGUUCCCAUUUUUCAUGGAUAUUUUUUGAGGGCCGGCUUAUUUGUGCUUAGAUCAAUUUCUGAGCAUUUGUUGUUACUUAUGAGCAGACAAUUGAUUCUUGCAAAAAGCUUUCAAAUAUUUAGAAAGAUGGAAUAGUGUUCACAC